CCCUAUUAUUUUAGAACGUUAAAUUUUGUGCCUGAGUAGUAUUAGUUAUGUUCUUGAAACUUAAAGAAUUUGGCGGUAUCUCAUUCCGUCCAGAGGAAUCUGUCCCGUUAUCGAUAGUCCGCGUUGGACCUUACUUAUUUGAUUUUGGUUUGUAUACCGCCGUUUAUUGAUUAUCUUUUUAGAGGUUAUGUUAAUUUUCUGGUUUCUUCAAUUUGAUAUAUUUCAGGUCAAGGUGCAGCUUGUUUUUAAGUGGAAUGAUGGAUUACAUUGUUAUUUGUUUAUGGAUUGUUUGUUUUAAUAUUGGCAUGAAAUUGGAUUUGGUUGUAAUAAUUUGUAGAUUGUCAUUAUGAUAAUUGGUUCUGAGAUAUGCACACAUCGCCCGUCGCUCUCGUUUGUUUAUUAUAAUGAGAUAA
Molecule: ribosomal RNA, 413 nt
Filed under: Nasutitermes sp. MG-6
Lineage: Eukaryota; Metazoa; Arthropoda; Insecta; Blattodea; Termitidae
Description: partial 12S ribosomal RNA
Source: RNAcentral